GGUGCUCGUCACUCCAAGUGGAUGGAUCUUCCAGAAGAGUGCAGCAGCUCAGCAAAAGUUAACACAGCCACUGCAGCAAUGACGCUCAUUGCUCCCUCACACAUACAUGACCUAUCCAUCAAUGGGAGUGAUGGGGAAGGCAGUGAAGACCAGUUACCACAAAGCAGUGAAAGAAAAGAACAGGAAGCUUCCACAUCUUUGGGAAUAGUGAAUAAAACUGAAUCCAGUGUCUUCAGUUUGAUUGAAUCCAGUGCCUUAAACUCUGAUGCAAGGAUGGAGGACAGAGAAGACGGGCAUUUAACGCACUGUGGGAAUGAGAAAGAACAAAACAGAGAAGAUCCUCUUAAUAUGUCGAGAUCUGAAGUUAAUGGAAAUACCAGAGAUGUACCAAUACAAACUGUGCUGAAAGUGCUACUGAAAGCAGAAUUACAGCCUGCAGAAGAAACUGAGG
This is a long non-coding RNA of Oreochromis aureus, 451 nucleotides long. RefSeq lists it as uncharacterized. The record is from RefSeq and is a predicted model, not a curated record. The transcript is spliced from 3 exons. NCBI's taxonomy places the organism in Eukaryota, Metazoa, Chordata, Actinopteri, Cichliformes, Cichlidae.